AUCUUGUGUUGUUGAGGCUGAGGACUGACUUGGGUUCUGAGACUCCCUGUCCCGGACCGCAGUGUUAAAAGGAUCUGAACAAAGUCUGCUCAAAUCUCCUGCUGUGAACCAGCAGAAUUUUUGAACAGAGACUGUCUCGCUCUGUCACCCAGGCUAGAGUGCAGUGGUGCUAUCAUAACUCACUGGAGCCCUGAUCUAGGCUCAAACCAUCCUCCCGCCUCAGCCUCUCAAGUAGCUGGGACUAAGGUUUCUUCACAUAUAAAAAUCUAUUGUAAAAAUACGGAAAAGAAUGGCAGCGGAAACGCAGACACUGAACUUUGGGCCUGAAUGAUAUGUUUGGACCCCGAAUAUGGAAUUCUCAUGGAAUUUUGAGAUCCAUCACAUUGUAGUGUGGCUUCCCCCCCCCCCUUCCUUUUUCCCCAAAGUUGGUGAUUGAAGAACCUCUCUUCAGUGGCAUCAAUAAUAAUAAUUACUUUUUCUAUUCAAACCUCGGGCAACCCCUUUGGUAAUAUCAGAAGCAGUAUC
RNAcentral lists this small RNA (525 nucleotides) under Pongo abelii (Sumatran orangutan). RNAcentral describes it as "processed transcript". Lineage: Eukaryota; Metazoa; Chordata; Mammalia; Primates; Hominidae. The record is from RNAcentral.